Molecule: ribosomal RNA, 472 nt
Filed under: uncultured bacterium
Lineage: Bacteria
Description: partial 16S ribosomal RNA
Rfam family: Bacterial small subunit ribosomal RNA
Source: RNAcentral
GACGAACGCUGGCGGCGUGCUUAACACAUGCAAGUCGAGCGAGAAACCUUCGGGUUUCUAGCGGCGGACGGGUGAGUAACACGUGGGUAACCUGCCUCAAAGAGGGGGAUAGCCUUCCGAAAGGAAGAUUAAUACCGCAUAAUAUUACAGUUUCGCAUGAAGCAGUAAUUAAAGGAGUAAUCCGCUUUGAGAUGGACCCGCGGCGCAUUAGCUCGUUGGAGAGGUAACGGCUCACCAAGGCAACGAUGCGUAGCCGACCUGAGAGGGUGAUCGGCCACAUUGGAACUGAGACACGGUCCAGACUCCUACGGGAGGCAGCAGUGGGGAAUAUUGCACAAUGGGCGAAAGCCUGAUGCAGCAACGCCGCGUGAGUGAUGAAGGUCUUCGGAUUGUAAAGCUCUGUCUUUUGGGACGAUAAUGACGGUACCAAAGGAGGAAGCCACGGCUAACUACGUGCCAGCCGCCGCGGUAA